Molecule: long non-coding RNA, 1045 nt
Filed under: Homo sapiens (human)
Lineage: Eukaryota; Metazoa; Chordata; Mammalia; Primates; Hominidae
Description: HSALNT0275697
Source: RNAcentral
GUGACCCCUGUCCCCACAGGUGGACUUCUGCUUGACAGAGGCAAACACACUUCUCCUUGUGUGCUGAGGAACUUUUCUCCAGAUGGCAGCACUUGUUUAUUCACCCAGCUGUGAGUGUUUGUGAUUCCCAACAUGCUCACUGGAAUCUUAGUUUAUUUUAUUUUGCAAUAUCAUUUUACUGUUCCACACUCUCAAUGACUUCAUGCUUCAUUCAGAAGUAAAUCCACAGUUGUCAAAGCACCACGUGAACCCACAGUAUCUGCCUCCCUCCCUCCCUCUGCCAACUCUCUGACCACGUCUCCUAUGCUCUGAACUAACUCCUUUCCUCCCUCUCUACCCACCGUCUCUCUCCCCGCUCAAGUCAGAAGAUGAUGAUGGGCCAUGUGUGAGAUUGGAUGGGACUAGGGUAAUGGGCUGUAUCAAGGGGGCAGGCUAGAAUCUUGGAUCCGCACAGCCACCUCUGCUUAUACCUACCUACACUCCUUCUCAAGGACAAUAUUUUAAACAUAAAUAUAAACAUAAGAGAAUGGAUACAACCUCACUAGUCACUGCUAAAAUGUUUUGAGCGUCUUCAUGUAAGAGAAAAUUUCAAUAUUGAUCAUUGUCUCUUAUAGUAGUGAGCUUUGACACUAUUUUCUUAUGUGUACUGUGUAUUUCAUUGUUUUUUAAACCCAGAGUUUAUAGAUUUUGAUAUUUUGUCAACAUUAUGAACUGCUACAUUUUAAAGUGAUUUCUGAAAAUAUAUGAGAGAAAAAGAAAUGUUGAUAUGCUAUUUGCACAUAUGAUAACAUUUGUAUUUAACAAGCUUUAAUUCAACAAUGUGUAAGAACAUCAGAAUAAUAUAAUGCCUUCUUGGUAGAUAAACAUAGCAACUAAAAAAUACAAAUUAUUUCAUAUUUUUGAAUUAAAUUAUUGUAUUUAAAUGUUUUACACUUUUGCUUAUUUCUCAUAUUGCUAGAAAAAUAUGUUAUCCAAUAUCUUUAUGGGCCAUAAGCUUUCUAUUGUUCCACAUUAAAAAUAAAAUGAUUCUAGUGGUUCAACCUUA